GCAACUGAUGCAUCUUCUAACCAGGCUGGGAACACAACACGCGCACACGCGCACACACACACGCACGCACCCACCCCACCCGGCUGCCGGACGCAAGCGUAAGUCAAGGCACUUGCAUGUUAGAAUCAGACAGAAAAUCCAGAAAAGCCACGUUAUUUAACAGAACCCUACAAGGUCAGCUUUGAGUCAAAGCAGACCACAUUUCUCUCGGCCCUCGCGAGUGAGGUCGCCAAAUACUCGACGCCUCAAGAGCGAGCCGAGGAGGCAGAGGCCGACCAAGCCGGCCUCUCGGCAGCCCUGCCCGGCGCCCCGCGGAGAACGCCCGGGUGCGGCUCGAGGGAAGUUGUGUCAAGUCCCACGCGCGGCCCGCGGAGAACCCAGCGGCGGCCCGCGCGCGUCGGCCUAGCGGGGAGGGCUGCUCCGGGACACGGUGCGGCGGCCGCGGGCGAGUUGGACGCGCUAGCAGAGCCGGGCCGAAGGCGGCGGGCGUCUCCGGGCAGCCAUGUUCGCGGCGCCCGCCCGCGCAGCAGGACGGAGCCCUGACAGCAAUGUUUGCUACGGCCUCCCUCUGCAGUCAGCCUAAAGCAAGGAGCUGGAGGUAGAUGAGGCAAAGGUAAAGGAGACCAAAACAGUAUUUUAAAGAAAAAAUCAUUUAUCUUCAAAUAGGCUCCAAACCUAAGAUGGUGUAUACUGUUAGAGGACAAGAACCUGCUUCUAGCCAUCUUUGCGUCUCCAGGACCUGACUUGUGACCAUUCAAUAAGAAUUUGAUAGAUGGACAGAUUAAUGAAUAGAUGAAGAUGAUUAGAAGCCAAAAUUUCUGAAUCUUCCUAGCAUCCAGAACAUGGCUUAACAUCAAGGAAAUGCUCACUAAAUACUGUCAUAAUGGAAUGAAU
RNAcentral lists this non-coding RNA (894 nucleotides) under Pan troglodytes (chimpanzee). The record is from RNAcentral. Lineage: Eukaryota; Metazoa; Chordata; Mammalia; Primates; Hominidae.